This 372-nucleotide ribosomal RNA is filed under the name uncultured bacterium. Its description in RNAcentral is "bacterial SSU rRNA". It matches the Rfam family "Bacterial small subunit ribosomal RNA", at positions 524 to 896 of the family's 1533-position model. The record is from RNAcentral.
UACGAAGGGGGCUAGCGUUGCUCGGAAUUACUGGGCGUAAAGGGAGCGUAGGCGGACAUUUAAGUCAGAGGUGAAAUCCCGGAGCUUAACUUCGGAACUGCCUUUGAUACUGGGUGUCUUGAGUGUGAGAGAGGUAUGUGGAACUCCGAGUGUAGAGGUGAAAUUCGUAGAUAUUCGGAAGAACACCAGUGGCGAAGGCGACAUACUGGCUCAUUACUGACGCUGAGGCUCGAAAGCGUGGGGAGCAAACAGGAUUAGAUACCCUGGUAGUCCACGCCGUAAACGAUGAUUGCUAGUUGUCGGGAAGCUUGCUUCUCGGUGACGCAGCUAACGCAUUAAGCAAUCCGCCUGGGGAGUACGGUCGCAAGAUUA